Molecule: unclassified non-coding RNA, 178 nt
Filed under: uncultured Xylariales
Lineage: Eukaryota; Fungi; Ascomycota; Sordariomycetes; Xylariales
Description: sequence contains ITS1
Source: RNAcentral
CUGAGUUCUGAAAAAAACUCCCAACCCUUUGUGAACUUACCACUGUUGCCUCGGCGAGCCGCGCUACGAAAUAUAGCUACGAGAGUAGCUAUAUUGGCAGCGCAUUCUAGGCUCGCCAAAGGACCUACCAAACACUGUAUAUUUUUGUAUCUCUGAAUUUUAUUACGAUAAUACGUUA